GCUUUUCCUGUUUCUAGAAAAGGGGGAAAAAAAGAUCCAUAAUCUAGAAUCUCUGCAGAUGGUGUAGAUAUUGUCCUGGAUUGCCUUUGCGGUGAAAAUACUGGUAAAGGCCUCAGUCUACUCAAACCACUUGGGACUUACAUUUUAUAUGGCUCAUCAAACAUGGUUACUGGGGAAACCAAAAGUUUCUUUAGCUUUGCAAAAUCAGUAAGUAUAAGGCCCUUCCGGCUUUGUUAGAGCUUAUUUGUAUGUGCUGUGCUCCGAGUCUCUCUUCUUUUUCCCUGCCGUUUUCUCCCCUCGCUCCCUUUAACAGCAUGACUCAUCCUUUGCAGAUUCAGAUCCAAGCUAGGCAUUAUCCACAGCAGAGGUAUGAAUGUUUCAUUAAGUUUGUUGGUUUCUUUGUACCUAGGAAGACAUGGCAAGGAGGGGCUGCUUAAAUACAAUUUACAUUUCUAGGAG
Molecule: non-coding RNA, 459 nt
Organism: Pantherophis guttatus
Lineage: Eukaryota; Metazoa; Chordata; Lepidosauria; Squamata; Colubridae
Source: RefSeq, a predicted model, not a curated record